CACGGGGGGAGCAAGCGUUGUUCGGAAUUACUGGGCGUAAAGGGUUUGUAGGUGGCUUGCUAAGUCAGACGUGAAAUCCCUCAGCUUAACUGGGGAACUGCGUCUGAUACUGGAUGGCUUGAGUUCGGGAGAGGGAUGCGGAAUUCCAGGUGUAGCGGUGAAAUGCGUAGAUAUCUGGAGGAACACCGGUGGCGUAGGCGGCAUCCUGGACCGACACUGACACUGAGGAGCGAAAGCCAGGGGAGCAAACGGG
Molecule: ribosomal RNA, 253 nt
Filed under: uncultured bacterium
Lineage: Bacteria
Description: partial 16S ribosomal RNA
Rfam family: Bacterial small subunit ribosomal RNA
Source: RNAcentral